AUCGCAGACCGCCUUAUCGUCGCCAAUUUAUUGGGGAAGGAAAGUCCGGACACCACAGAGAAGCAUAGCGGGUAACUCCCGUCAGUUCAAGAAAUUGGAUUAGGACAAGUGCAACAGAAAGCAGGUACAGGUAAUGCUGUAGUGAAACCAGGUAAACUCUAUGCGGUGAAAUUUCAAGUAUAUCGACAUUUAAGGGCUUCUCGCUCGUUGUCGAAGGGUAGAAAGAUGGAGUGCGUGAGUAAUUGCGUGCCUAGAUAAAUGAUAAGGCUACAUUCAUUUGUAGACAGAAUCCGGCUUAUAGGUCUGCUUUUUUA
RNAcentral lists this RNase P RNA (314 nucleotides) under Flavobacterium luteum. RNAcentral's name for it is "RNase P RNA component class A". It matches the Rfam family "Bacterial RNase P class A". Rfam says of the family: Ribonuclease P (RNase P) is a ubiquitous endoribonuclease, found in archaea, bacteria and eukarya as well as chloroplasts and mitochondria. Its best characterised activity is the generation of mature 5'-ends of tRNAs by cleaving the 5'-leader elements of precursor-tRNAs. The record is from RNAcentral. Lineage: Bacteria; Pseudomonadati; Bacteroidota; Flavobacteriia; Flavobacteriales; Flavobacteriaceae.